This 245-nucleotide ribosomal RNA is filed under the name uncultured bacterium. Its description in RNAcentral is "partial 16S ribosomal RNA". It matches the Rfam family "Bacterial small subunit ribosomal RNA", at positions 532 to 776 of the family's 1533-position model. The record is from RNAcentral.
GCGCAAGCGUUGUCCGGCAUUAUUGGGCGUACAGAGCUCGUCGGCGGUUUGUCACGUCGGCUGUGAAAGCCCGGGGCUUAACCCCGGGUCUGCAUUCGAUACGGGCAGACUAGAGUGUGGUAGGGGAGAUCGGAAUUCCUGGUGUAGCGGUGAAAUGCGCAGAUAUCAGGAGGAACACCGGUGGCGAAGGCGGAUCUCUGGGCCAUUACUGACGCUGAGGAGCGAAAGCGUGGGGAGCGAACAGG